ACCCCUGUGAGAAUGUCCUUAUUGUCCUUUAAGGAACUAAGGAGCAGGUAUCAGGCACGACCCCCUCAGCCCAAUACACCUUGUUCAACCACACCCCCACGGGUAGUCAGCAGUGAUAAACUUUAAGCCAUAAGUGAAAACUUGACUUAGUUAAGACUAAAAGGGUCGGUAAACUUCGUGCCAGCCACCGCGGUUAUACGGAGGACCCAAGUUGAUAAUUACGGCGUAAAGCGUAGUUAAGACAUCCCCUAAAAUAGGGUCGAAUGACCUCAAGACAGUAAAAUGUGUACGAGACCACUAAGCACACCUAUGAAAAUGACCCUAACUUAUCUGACCCUACGAAAGCUAUAAUACAAACUGGGAUUUGAUACCCCACUAUGUUUAGCCGUUAAAAUUAAUGGUACUUCACUCGAACCAUUCGCCUGGAGAUUACGAGCUCAAGCUUAAAACCCAAAGGACCUGGCGAUGCUUUAGAUCCCCCUAGAGGAGCCUGUUCUGUAACUGACAAUCCCCGGUAAACCUCACCACCCCUUGCCAGACUCCGUUUAUAUACCACCGUCGCAAGCUCACCCUUUUGAAGGAAUAAAAGUGAGCUUAAACAGUACUACUGCUAACGUCAGGUCGAGGUGUAGCGUAUGGGGUGGGAAGAAAUGGGCUACAUUCUCUAAAGAAGAGAAUACGAAUGGCAAUUUGAAAAAAUUGCACUGAAGGAGGAUUUAGAAGUAAGAAAGGAAUAGAGUGCCCUACUGAACAAUGGCCCUAAAGCACGUACAAACCGCCCGUCACUCUCCCCACAAUAUCUUUACACAAUCCCUAAUAAGAAUAACCUUUGUAAGGUGAGACAAGUCGUAACAUGGUAAGUGCACCGGAAGGUACACUUGGACAACCAGAGCAUAGCGAAAAAGUAAAGCAACUCCCUUACACUGAGUAGAUGUCCUUGCAACUAGGACUGCCCUGAUACC
Molecule: non-coding RNA, 962 nt
Filed under: Hymenocephalus longibarbis
Lineage: Eukaryota; Metazoa; Chordata; Actinopteri; Gadiformes; Macrouridae
Description: partial 12S rRNA
Rfam family: Bacterial small subunit ribosomal RNA
Source: RNAcentral